RNAcentral lists this long non-coding RNA (9353 nucleotides) under Aquilegia coerulea. RNAcentral's name for it is "long non-coding RNA (ACOE_LNC001478)". The record is from RNAcentral. Lineage: Eukaryota; Viridiplantae; Streptophyta; Magnoliopsida; Ranunculales; Ranunculaceae.
CAGCAAUGAAAAUAUUUCUUAAUAUGGUUAUCCAAUAUAUGUUUCGCAGCUACCUUAGAAUAGCUAGGUGAAAACUCUUCUUUCUCCUAUGUGUGGUGGUUAAUAUUGCGAUCAGAGGUAAUGAAUAUAGGGCAGGUUCAGAUAAAUAUACUGGUAUUACAGCUAAAUCCCCCCUCCUCCUCUCCCAACACAGACAUCACGUGUGCACACACACACACAAAGCCCGAGAAAUAAAAGAAAUAAAAGCUUUUGUAUGAUGGCAUAUUUGUUUAGAACAUGGUGAUGACGACAAGUGAUACAUGUACCUUAAGUAGUGAUCCUUCUUCUGAUCCAUAUGCAGCUUCAUGGUUCUAGAAAGAAACACUGCAAAAAUGGCAAAACUAUCUAUCAUCAACAUAUAUACUCCAGCUAACUGAUCGUAAAUGUUGUUAAGUUUCAAAAAAAUAAAAUUUAUAAGCAGUUUCAGGAAAUUAAGCCUACCACAUUGCUGUAUGUGGUAGUAACAAUACAAUUUAUAAUUUGUUUUCCAGGUAAGAGAAGCUUAGUUGUAUCUUAAUAUUAUCCUUUUGAAGAAAAGGACAGAACUGCAUGGCUAUCAUUUUCAUGGACAAACUAACAAUGUAAUUCUGGAAUGGUGAAGACAUUGUUUGCCUUAACUCGAAAGGGUAAUCUUCCAAUCAAUAAUGGCAGAAAGCAUAUGAAGGUGCAGCUAUUCGAAAAAACUAUGUGUUUAAUUAGUUUUAACUGGAGUCCAGGAGUAAUUUAGGAGCACGAGAUAUAUAAAGGCCAGGCAAAGAUAAAAGUUUUUUGAAGUAUCAAAGGUCUUGGAGUCCUUUUUGUUUUCAAGAGAGAAUAUAAUACCGAAUAAGACAAUAAGAGCAUAGAUAUUUCUUUUCAAUGAAGCACUUGGCACCACAGAUACGAGGAUAGAUAUGUGUUCUCAAUGAACCGUUAGGCACGACAUCUAGGUCGACAACCCCAGAGGAACAUCAUUACCACAUCACAUAGUCAAUAGCAUUUGAUGUUUAUUUAUAGGUUUGGCAAAUUAAGUCUCCAAGAGAUAAAAAAUUCAUCAACGUAAUGGAAUGUAGGCUAGGGCAAGAUAUUAAGGACAAAGCAAAAUUCCAGGUGGUUUAUGUGUAUAAGAGUUUAAACGUUUAUUGCAUUCAAAAAUUAAAAGAAGUCAGUAUAUAUUCAGUUAUGAUACACAUUCACAAAUGUGGACACGAUGCUAUGUGAAGGCACUGUUAGAAGUUAGAACAUCAUAGAAGUUAGAACAUCAUAGUAAAAAUAAUGUAACUUUGAAUACAAACAAACUGGGACCUUCUCUAUAAGAUAUGGUUUAUUACAUAAAGACCCGUAAUAUAUCAGAUACCUAGUUCCAUUAUAGUUCUCUAAUACAGUGAUCCUAUCAUACUACAUUAAAUUUUCACUUUCCUCGACCGUCGCUACUACUCCUAUCCUUGAUUCAGUGAUUCACAACUCAUACAAUAGGCUAUGAGAAUACAAACAGAAUCCACCUAUGGAACUGCUUCAGCAAUCGUGAAGACCACGGUUUUCGGUCAAGGUGGAUGAGUAAACAUAAAAUUUAUCUCCUCUGUAUUGGUAUUUCAUAUUUGUCUGGCUUCCUUGGCAACCUAGAUAAGUUAAAUCAAUAAUCACUAUCCUCAAUUGUGGACCCAAACAUGAUGCCCAAUGAAUUGCUUCUUCUGAAAAUACUAUUGUCACCUCAUAAUCUUUAUUGCUACCUACCAUCUUCAUUACCCUCACAAUAGCUACUAGAUCAAAAGCAACACGAAAUUAUAACCUCCACAAACUCAUAAAGCUGCAAGAGGUACAUUUCCUCCUCUUCCUAGGGAUCUCAAGUCUAUCUUGACUAGCUUUUGGAAUCAUCUCCGGUACUUCAGUCAGAGCCUCACGUUGUCAUGUUCUGGCAGAUAGUCAUGCAGCCUAGGCUAGUGCAUCCUGCUGUGAAGAACAUGCUCCUAUUGUUCUAACUGAGCAAGCUCAGUCUCAAAGAAGCUUUGAUGCCUGAUUCCUCAUAUGACUCGUCAUUCAACUGCAGAAUGAUAUUUCAUAAUUAUUCUAGUUGUGGACAGAAGAAGAAAAUCAAAUUAACAAGGAAAUUUGAACUUAAGAAGUUCAACUAACCUGUUGUGUUUGUCGCUCGUCCUCACAGUGAGUGGUAAUAAGUCAAGCCAUCCCAAAAUGGCUAUAACUGCAUGAUGAAAAGGGAACUAAUUAGAUAUUAGUACUUAAAUCUCCAAUAUUUUAUUGUAAAUGAUUUUUACCACCUUCAAAAGUUGUAAGUUGAUUACAGUUCCGUGAUACCAAAAUAUCACCACUCUCUCCUAUUCCUGAAUCGACUCAUGGAAAUUUUUUCACCAUGUUGAUGCCUUUCAUACAAGCAGCUGGUUUGAUCUCCUAAUCAUCCAGAAGACUAAUCUACUACUAUAUAGUUGUUGCCAAUUUUUUGUUGAACAUGAAGAAGCUUUUGUGUGAAGGUGUUAAAGGAAGGACCAACGUUGAAUUUGGAUUAAUAUCGGGAUUAGAAGUUUGUAAACAUGAUUAUUCUAGGGGUUUAUCACACAAAAAAAAACAUGAUUCUAGGGCUGUACGUGAUUUUAUUAACUUCACAACAAAAUACAUUAUAUGUUAGGUAACUACCAUUAAAAUAGUAAUAUAACUUCAAACAAAUACUGGCUCUCAUUGAGUUAAAGAUGUUAACAAACAACAAUACGAUUCAAGACCCUUUUAGUGAAGUAAUCACAUUUUCAACAAUGUGAAACUGCAUAUAUGGAGAGCAAGUCAGCAAACUAAUUAAGGGUCCAAACGUAGUCACCAAACAAUUUUUAAACACUAGCAAUAUUUUGAAGAUUGUCGCUCAAAAAUAUAUAAGAAUUCAAUGAUUACUGCAAUUUAUAACAACUCAUGUAAGAUUGAGCUCGAUAAUAAGAAAGUGAUGUGAAAGUCUUACCUGUUCCAAGUGAUCUGUGUCCAGCUUAUUACUCAGCAUUGUGAAACAAACUUAAUGUUCAUGUUGCAGAUUGAAUCAAGGCAAGCACUCUUGAAUAGAUUCUUUGCAAGAGUUGGUGCUACCACCUAACAAAAAAAAAAUGUCUUCAUUAUUAGAAAAUCUCCUGAGUAAGAAAAAGCAGGAAAUAUUGAUUCUGCAAACUUGAGAUGAGACAUAAAAGAAAUCAUUUCAGUACACAAAAGAGAACCUUUUUCAUGCAUACUAGAGAAAGAGCAGGUGGUAUAUGUUGUGAUCCAUCAUACGCUUUCAUUUCGAGAAAUAAUUGUACAUAAUUUCAUUCAAAUCAUUAUACUAAAUAAGUUGUGCAAGUAUAUUACCCUUAGGGGAGGACGCAAGAAAUUAUCCCUUUCUUUUUUGGAAUGCCUUAGGAAAUAUGGAAGUGUAUAUAAGAUGAAUGAAUCCAAGAUGAUAUUAAAACCUACAGUGACAGGAUUUCUACCUGCUGUUUUGAUGAUUAAAGCUUUAUGUUCUAGCAUUCAACAACCAUCUGAAGGUCGGCAGAACUUGGUCAACCACUCUACUGCUAUUUCUAAUUCUCUGAAGACUUGCUUGAAGUUGAUAUCUUCAAAUGAAAAACUGUAUUAACAAUGGGUUCUGUUUUCCUACUAGCUCUGAAUGAUCCUUUUAGCUGGACAAUAGAUUGUUCAGAUUCUACUGCAGCCUUGAAUAUUCCGAUCAUAGUUCAAUUUGGUUAAUACUUAAUAGUAACUCCUAGGUCAGUUUAGUUAAUAGUCACUUUAGGUUAGGGUCUGCCUUAGCCACUACAACAGCAAAAACAAAAUCCAAUGGAUCCACUGUGGCACUGUGACAAACACAAACAUGCCAUCACACUGUAUAAUAAUGCAUAAACAACUGCCUCCACCAACAAACAUCAUGACUCCGACCUGAGAGUUUAAUUACUUAUGUUGAGGGGCCGAAAGGGGAGAACCUAUCCCUCUCCUUCACUACAAAUCAUCAAAUUAGUAGUACAGGAAAUGGAAGAAGGUUUAUCUAGUUUAGAAAUACAAAGGAUGGUAUGGGGCGCCGCUCAGACUUGAAAAGGCAAAGAGGAAGCAUGACAAUUUAAAAUUCCAUAUUAACUUUUUGUUUCCUUGUAAACCAAUAUGUGGUUCUCUACCCUCCGUGCCUACCUAAAUGUUUCUCUAUGGUCAAUUAAAGUGAACUGUAAGUUACUUCUCUAAUUUUUUUGACGCAAGUGUCUUUAGAGAAUUAAUACAAUGGUAUCAUCACCCCCAUCCCCACCCCCACCACCAACACACACAUCUCCUCAAUAAAAUUAUAAAAGAACUAUGAAACUGCUCUCUGAUUCCCAGUUUGCUUAAGGUAUACAAUCCAAGGGAAAAUCUCGAUCUUAUUUAGACUUAAACAUUGUCAUCGGUUGAGGACUCGAGUCAUUGAUAUCGAUAAAUUUUAUCUUAGCAUUCAUCUUGAAUCAAAAAAUCAUGGCAGUCUUCAAACCAAUUAGUCCUUUAGUCCAACCUAGAGUAAUUUAUCCUUAAUAACUUAACUAGGGUUUUCCCCUACUGUUCAUGGAACCAGCUAAGCCAAUGUUCUUGUGUUUAGGGGCCAAAAUCAACCUAUCAUCCAAGCUUAAAAUCUCCGUUCUAUAUCUCCUUCUUCGUCCUUUUCUUACUCUCUCCCUCUCAUCCUUUCUCCUCUGUCUUUUAUCUCCCUCUCAAUUACUCACUUCAAAACAACCCCAUCUUUACUUUCCACAGCAGUUUGCAGUACACUAGUAGGAAACACACAUUUGAGAGAUCAUUAGCCUCUCGAACACCCAAAUGUGGAUAAGUAUGAGCUACCUAAAAGUUAAAAACUCUUGUUCAUGAUAGAAUUAAGAUGUUUAGUGAGAACCUCACUCCAGAUGCCAAAACCAUUACACUGUUGUUUAACAAUAUAAACAACUUCAUUGCAUAAAGAAAACCCAUUACAGUUUGCAUGUUGAAAUGUAAUCUUAAGACCUAAGUCAAACCAAAAGAACAGAUUAAUAAACAAUAAAAUGUUUUACCUGAAGCAGAGCAUCAGUUCUCAAAACAGGUAAACAAAGCAGUUGUUGAUAGCUUUCAAACUCAGAUGUGUUUAUAAUUGUAGAUCCCAUUUAUGAGUUUUAAGUUUUGAAUAAAUAUUUGAUUAUAGAAUAAUGCAGAUUUCCCCCUAAAAGCUGACAAUAUUCCUUUCACCCUAAAGGUUUUGCUGAUGUGUUGUACAAAGAAGGCUUAUAUCUGUUUGUGUGGUGUUGGGAUCACUGAUCAGUAUGUCUUUAAAGAUUCUUUUGGAAAACUGUUCCUUCAUGUGCACAGAAAUUUCAAAUGUAAUGAUAGGAGUUGUGUAAAGGCUUCUCAUCAGGUGUCUCAGAUCCUUUUAAAACAAGAUCCUACUAUCACUAGGGUAUAAUUAAGUAUAAACUAGUGUGUUCAAAACAAAUGGAUCAUAAAUUCAUAAUUGAUUCUACAUGAAUCUAUGUGGCCUGCAAUAUGACUUUUCACAUCAUUGUGAAUAAUUAUCAACAGAGAGAAUGACAAGCUUGCAGCCAUAUUACAGUUACAGGCCAUAUUACACAGACUAACUUGUGAUAUUAGUAGCUUCUAAUUUGAAGAAUAUAUAAUUAGCUUCUAAUCCAUACAGUAUAUAUUUUGUGUACUCAAAAUAACAUGACUAAGGUCAGCAGUGUUUUGCCUGAAAGGAUACCCUAAGACUGCAGUUUUCUUGAUGCUCUGCUUGAUAACAUACUUCUAGAUACAGGUCUUUAUGCAUCCUAUCUAUUGCUUCUUGCCACAUAGGAUAAUUUUGGUCGAGAUGGUUGAAUUGUUAGCAUGGAUGAUUUAGAAAAUAUGAUUGGAGGGUAUGUAGGGUUAGGUUCCAUUUAUAUAUUUGGUGGAAUUUGGCCUAUCUUGAUCAAAUCCUUUGCAUGGGCUCAGCGAGCAUUUAAUUUGUAUAGUUUGGAGAGGCUUACUUGUCAUAAAGUUAACAGCUUUGCUGCCCAGCUGAUCUAGUAACAUGGUGAGACGCCGAGCUGAUUGGUCAGUGUAAGGAUCCAUCAUCCCCAACUACUGGUUGGAAAUUGAUCAUUCUAAGUAAAUUCCCUCUAUCACUUAUGGGAGUUCCCUAACUGACUAACUCUUUACCCAAGAUUUACCCAAUUGGUGAAUGAGCCUGUGGCUCAAUGGUAGCACCCUUCUCACAAUGUGGAGAGGUUGUGGGUUCGAAACACGUCAACAGCUGAUUGUUGAUAUAGUUUCCACACGUAAUUUAAAGGGGUAGGGGCUUGCCAAUAAAAAAAAAAAAAAAAAAAAAAAAGAUUUACCCAACUUGUACUAGGUGUUUUUCCAGCAUACCCUCAUGAGCAGAGAUACAUAUGAGGUAUCAUAGCUGGCUGCUGGCCUAUGCCAAAUAGUGAGCUGAUCCUAUUAUGAUUCUUAACAAUACUGUGUGUCCGAUAUAAGCGAACUUUGGACAAUUCAUUGUUAAACUUUGUCGACCCUAGUGAAGUCCUUUAACAUUAAAGAACGCACACUAGACGAGUGAGCGGGAAUAUAUAUGUACUGGAUUUAUUACGCUAAAAUUUCCUUUUCAACCAAACACACCCGUUUUUAUGGGUUUCAUUUUUGUAGUCUAAAAUCAAGAGCAUGUAGCCAGGUUUUACAAUAGCAAGGGACAAAUUCAUUGGUUGAGAAUAGAGCACGAUUUUUUAUCAGACAAAUAAUUACUUUCGCAUUCCAAAUAUAGAGACCAGCAUAAAAUACAAAUGAACAAUGAGAAGCUUUAUAUAGGCCGGAAAUCAGUGGAGCAAACUAAAAAUGACUAAUACAGGUAAAUGACAUACCAUGGUCAUCCAUCCAUGUACUGGCAGCAAUCUGCCUGAAAACCAGAAAUAUCAAUCAGUUCACAUAAGGCCUAAAUUACAGAACUUCAGAGGGCUGUGAUGAACUUAAUUUCAUAUCAUAUCGAAGUUUAUCAGUAGUAAAUAAUAUUAAAACUAUAUAAGAGCUUAAAUGAAUGCUCCAUAAAGCAUGUACUGACAAUUUAAAGAAAACCUCAAUUCAGGAAGGCGGAAGCCCUAGAAGAAAAUCUCUACAGGAUUAAAGCUCUUUCUGAUUAUUGAAAUUUGAAAUACCAAAACGAUUCAUCCAAAUUGAUGUUCACAUAUUUGUAAGUUGACAAGAGCCAACAGUUCUCUGUCUGAUACUGCAAUUUCCCUGAUGGGGGACUUUGAAUAGCAAAUCUUAAGGCUCUAAAAAGAUCAUUGAUCCAGCUACAUGUGAAGCCUAUUCGAUUGACCUAGAUGGAUCUAACGCACCAAUGGAUUAGUCCAGUGUCUUUUUUACUAGCAUCAGUAGUGAUGGAUUAUAAUGCAGCUGGUUUUAGGCCAAAUCAUUACUUGACGAGAUGAUCGAUCAUUCAAAUUAAUGUCACCUCAGUCUCACUAGUCACCCGGAAUGGCUUACACUUCCUACCUAAUCAUCGUAUAUUUUACUGAAUUCUAAAUUUCUAAAUUAGACAUAGCUUGUUAGACUAAACCUUAUAUCAUAUUAUUCCAACAAUUUGUGAUUCUUCAAUAUUAACAAAUUAAAUUUCCCCUAUGAAUGUUAAUAUUUAAAACAUACAAGGAAAACCUGCAAUCCUUGAGAAAAGUAGAAUUGAUUCUGCUCUUAAUCCAUGGCAAUCUGUAAUGUUACUGUCCAACUCUGAGGGUCAGCCUUGUAGAUGUAGGCAUAGUACAUACAGUGAACCUUGUUCAACCAAUCUUAAGACCUUUAUUCUUUAUCCAGUACCUUUUUCAUCUCAAGUUUUUCAGAAGUUGAACCACAUUAAUCAGCAUCAACUAAUAGGCAAAGCCAUAUUUCCCCAUGGCAGAAUCUAACUAAGCUUGUGCAAUUCAUCAAUGACUGUUAAGUCACACUGUGAGAUUGAUGAAUGAUGAAACCAGAAAGAUAUAUCUGAUGACCCCCCAUGAAAAGGAGCAGAUAAGAUAUGUUUGGUGUAUCUAUGACUUUAUAAAAUAACAAAUGCAUGUGUGUUGCCUAGAGGAAUGACUUCUAAAAAAUGUAGACAGGCUUUUUUCCACAUUCUGAUGGGUAAAAAUCCCCACAUAUAUAUAUAUAUAUAACUAGGAAAAAAACUUUAGAGAAACUAACUGUUAUCCUAAUUAAAGUUAUUUGCACUCAACAAUCCAUUGGACAAUCCAUGCUUCCUAAUUAUUUGCUGGAAGAUAAUAGCUUUUUGCAUGUUCUACCCUUUUGUACAACUGUUGAGGCACAUUGUGAGAUGGUAUCAACAAGAAAAGGUGAAGAUUUUCAAUGAAUUAUUGUGUGAAUGUCAACUGUAUGUAUCAUUAAAAUUAGGAUUACCAACAAGGCAACAAGAUGGACAACAAUGACAUAAAAGGUUUUUGCUUUCUUGUUUUCUAAAACAGUUUCGCAAAUAAUCCUUGAACAUCAUAUGCUAUCUAAUUAGUUCCCCAGUUCCCACAUAGUAUAAAAAUUGUGACAUUUUAUUAUACAAAUUAGCUUAAUUAUUGUUGCAAAUAUGAUUUCAAGAAAAUAAUAACAAAAAGCAUGUGUUUAUUUUUAUGUUUUUUUGAAGGAAAUCUGGAAAUAGAAAACACAACCUUUUUUUAUGUACAAAUCUAUAAUCUUAGACAAAAAAAGAAAAAAAAAAAAAUCUAGUUAACAGAUAGAUUUAUAAGUUAAAAGUUUCACUUACUUGCCAUGUGAAAGACUUCUGUGCUUCCUUUUUAUCAUAAUGUUUAGAAGCAAAAGAUUUAUAGUUUGAAACUCAUCAAAGGAAAAGGAAGAAGAAGAAGAAGAAGAAGGUGGUUAGAGAUGUGAUGUCCAAAAAACAAAGAAAUAGUGAAGAAGAAGAAGAAGAAGGAAAACGUCAAGAUGAAAGAUCAAAUGAUGGAUGGAAAACAACAUCAUACAUUGAAUAUGGGAAUGGAUGGAAUGAAGAGUUAUUAUUAUUGAGUGAAGCGACAAACCCGGUAAAAGAUAGCCUAGUAACGACAAACAACUACAAAGCUAGUAAUCAUGAUGAUGAUGAUGUGAUGUGAAUGUGAUCUACUAAUACUACUACAACUUUGACUUGCAGAUCUGGUUUUCCAACUUUUUUUUUCUUGAUUGUGUUUCAUACUCCAGAUCGAAGAGAACUCUUUCUCUCUCUCUCUCAUUGGCUCACAACGAGUUCAACUUAGAAUGGAAUGUUUCAUAGUCUGAUAAUCUCAUUCCAUUGGCUAUUAAUGCUGUUUUAGGGCAUAAAAUUCAGCUAUGUUUUGGUUGGUUUUGUCCUAUUAUUAUGAUUAUGAUCAUCUUCAAUUUUU